AUCCAGAGUAGGACGAGACACGUGAAACCUUGUCUGAAUGAGCGGGGACCACCCCGUAAGGCUAAAUACUACUUAGUGACCGAUAGCGCAUAGUACCGUGAGGGAAAGGUGAAAAGGACCCCGGGAGGGGAGUGAAAGAGAACCUGAAACCCUGUGCCUGCAAGCUGCGAAAGCUCUAUAUACGAGUGAUCGCGUACUUUUUGUAGAACGGUCCGGCGAGUUAUGUGUACCGGCAAGGUUAAGUAUCUAAGAUACGUAAGC
Non-coding RNA from Butyrivibrio fibrisolvens DSM 3071, 261 nucleotides. Lineage: Bacteria; Bacillati; Bacillota; Clostridia; Lachnospirales; Lachnospiraceae. The record is from Rfam.